UACGAAGGGGGCUAGCGUUGCUCGGAAUCACUGGGCGUAAAGGGUGCGUAGGCAGGUCUUUAAGUCAGGGGUGAAAUCCUGGAGCUCAACUCCAGAACUGCCUUUGAUACUGAGGAUCUUGAGUUCGGGAGAGGUGAGUGGAACUGCGAGUGUAGAGGUGAAAUUCGUAGAUAUUCGCAAGAACACCAGUGGCGAAGGCGGCUCACUGGCCCGAUACCUGACGCUGAGGCACGAAAGCGUGGGAGCAAACAGGG
RNAcentral lists this ribosomal RNA (254 nucleotides) under uncultured bacterium. Its description in RNAcentral is "partial 16S ribosomal RNA". It matches the Rfam family "Bacterial small subunit ribosomal RNA", at positions 524 to 777 of the family's 1533-position model. The record is from RNAcentral.